GAGUUUGUGUGUUUUUUUAACUUUUAUUUUGGUGGGUUGCAGUGAAAAGCCGUGAGUUUGUGUGUUUUUUUAACUUUUAUUUUGGUGGGUUGCGGUGAAGAGCUGCGAGUUUGUGUGUUUUAGGAACUUUUAUUUUGCCGAGUUGCAGUGAAGAGCCGCAAGUUUUUGUGUGUUUUUUUAACUUUUAUUUUGGUGGGUUGCGGUGAAGAGCCGCGAGUUUGUGUGUAUCUGCCGACAGCUUUCUGAACUUUUAUUUUGGCA
Molecule: long non-coding RNA, 261 nt
Organism: Megalobrama amblycephala (Wuchang bream)
Lineage: Eukaryota; Metazoa; Chordata; Actinopteri; Cypriniformes; Xenocyprididae
Exons: 2
Source: RefSeq, a predicted model, not a curated record